UACGUAGGGUGCGAGCGUUAAUCGGAAUUACUGGGCGUAAAGCGUGCGCAGGCGGUGAUGUAAGACAGAUGUGAAAUCCCCGGGCUCAACCUGGGAACUGCAUUUGUGACUGCAUCGCUGGAGUGCGGCAGAGGGGGAUGGAAUUCCGCGUGUAGCAGUGAAAUGCGUAGAUAUGCGGAGGAACACCGAUGGCGAAGGCAAUCCCCCUGGGGCCCU
Molecule: ribosomal RNA, 216 nt
Filed under: uncultured bacterium
Lineage: Bacteria
Description: partial 16S ribosomal RNA
Rfam family: Bacterial small subunit ribosomal RNA
Source: RNAcentral